GCAUGUGCUGUGAGCUCGAUGAGUAGGGCGGGACACGUGGUAUCCUGUCUGAAUAUGGGGGGACCAUCCUCCAAGGCUAAAUACUCCUGACUGACCGAUAGUGAACCAGUACCGUGAGGGAAAGGCGAAAAGAACCCCGGCGAGGGGAGUGAAAAAGAACCUGAAACCGUGUACGUACAAGCAGUGGGAGCCCCACCACCAAAGCAUUCUCUGGUGUUGAAGGCCCUGCAAAGCAGCAUCGCGGUGGCGGAGCGUCGUUUGCGACGCCCAACACACAAAACAAGCGGUGAGUGCUUUGGGGUGGGGUGACUGCGUACCUUUUGUAUAAUGGGUCAGCGACUUAUAUUCUGUAGCAAGGUUAACCGAAUAGGGGAGCCGGAGGGAAACCGAGUCUUAAUUGGGCGUUAAGUUGCAGGGUAUAGACCCGAAACCCGGUGAUCUAGCCAUGGGCAGGUUGAAGGUUGGGUAACACUAACUGGAGGACCGAACCGACUAAUGUUGAAAAAUUAGCGGAUGACCUGUGGCUGGGGGUGAAAGGCCAAUCAAACCGGGAGAUAGCUGGUUCUCCCCGAAAGCUAUUUAGGUAGCGCCUCGUGAAUUCAUCUCCGGGGGUAGAGCACUGUUUCGGCUAGGGGGCCAUCCCGGCUUACCAACCCGAUGCAAACUGCGAAUACCGGAGAAUGUUAUCACGGGAGACACACGGCGGGUGCUAACGUCCGUCGUGAAGAGGGAAACAACCCAGACCGCCAGCUAAGGUCCCAAAGUCAUGGUUAAGUGGGAAACGAUGUGGGAAGGCCCAGACAGCCAGGAUGUUGGCUUAGAAGCAGCCAUCAUUUAAAGAAAGCGUAAUAGCUCACUGGUCGAGUCGGCCUGCGCGGAAGAUGUAACGGGGCUAAACCAUGCACCGAAGCUGCGGCAGCGACACUCAGGUGUUGUUGGGUAGGGGAGCGUUCUGUAAGUCUGCGAAGGUGGCCUGUGAGGGUUGCUGGAGGUAUCAGAAGUGCGAAUG
Molecule: ribosomal RNA, 1009 nt
Filed under: Salmonella enterica
Lineage: Bacteria; Pseudomonadati; Pseudomonadota; Gammaproteobacteria; Enterobacterales; Enterobacteriaceae
Description: partial 23S ribosomal RNA
Rfam family: Bacterial large subunit ribosomal RNA
Source: RNAcentral